Molecule: long non-coding RNA, 607 nt
Filed under: Monodelphis domestica (gray short-tailed opossum)
Lineage: Eukaryota; Metazoa; Chordata; Mammalia; Didelphimorphia; Didelphidae
Description: lncRNA (ENSMODG00000031483.2)
Source: RNAcentral
CCACACUACACGGGCAUGUGCUAGUCAAUGACAAAUCAGAAAUAACUAACUGCCCACCUGGGCUGUCCUAAGCCAAGCUAUAGCCACCAUUGGCACUUGUGAGGCACAGGAAGUGAGGUAGGGAACAGCCUCUGGAAUUCGCUGACUUCCUGUGGAGAGAGCUAGACGGGAGUUCAGGUGGCACAGUGGAUAAAGAGCUGGACUUGGAGUUCAAAUGUGACUUAAGACACUCAUUAGUUUUGUGACCCUGGGUAUCUCCCACCCUCCUUCCCAUCCCCACACUAGAGAAGGCAUCAUUUGACAAAAAGAUAUGUGUAUAUAUAAAACUAUGUCUUGCUUGUUUUUAUUUAUCAGCACUUUCUCUGAAGUUGGGAAUACAUAAAUUAUUCUUCAAACAAUAUUUCUGUUGCUAUAUAUAAUGUUCUCUUGAUUCUAUAAGUUUCAUUCAUUUUUUUAAAAACCCUUACCUCCUGUCUUAGAAUCUAUAUUAAGUGUUGGUACCAAGGUAGGAUUAGGCAAUUGGGGUUAAGUGACUUUCCCAGGGUCACACAGUGAAGAAGUGUUUGAGGUUAGAUUUAAACCCAGGACUUCCCAUCUCUAGGUCUGA